UUUUCUUCAAUUUGUCCUGCACACGAUAUCUCUCACGCCGUUCUUCUCUCUGGCGCUUUCUUGACAAUUGCUCGUCCUUGGCUUUCUCUGCUUCGUAUUCUUUUCUCUUCUGCUCUUCCCUAAGCUUUCGCUUCUUCAUCUUCUCAUGUCUGAUCCUUUGAAGGUGUUGAACAAGACUAUGAAGUUUUCGCUCUCGAGAAUCCAUGACAACGGCUCUUCUAUUUUCAAGAAGAGGCCGUUUCUGACUGGGUAUAUCCUUUGGUUUGGAUUCAAAUGGAAGUGCUGCCUGUAAUGACUUAGGUAUCACCAAUGGGUUGAACUUCUUUGGCUUUCUUUCAAUAGGCUUGUACUGUGAAUCCUUGUUAGCAGGAACAGGGAGAUUGUGUUCCCUCCUUAAUUCAGCCACCGUUUUCAUUCCCUGCCAGGUCUUACCACGAGGUUGCAAUGAAGUAGUCAAUGGGUUAUAGAACUGAGGAACUUCAACUUGAGUCCAUGCACGCAGAAAAACAAUGUCACUCAUCAAAAUCCUGUCCUCAAAGGUGCACCGGGCAAUUCCCUCUCUUGGUGCCCCUCCCUUCUUUCUGGGCUGAUUACCUAUUUCAUCUUUUGCAGCCUUUUUCACCUGCCCCCGUAUCCCACUGACAGUUCGAAUAGCAGCACCUUCAAACCGAGCUACUUCAAGAUCAGAAGUAAACAUAUUUGUGAUCAGUGCAGUCUUCUUGAAUAUCUUACAUGGAUAACCAACUAGCUUGACUUUCUUCAUUAUCUUUGCUGCAUGAUUGAACUCGAGUACAACUGCAGUUGCAGUUAUUCGAAAUGCUGCCUGAAUGUUAGAUAAAUUCUGGACAGCAACCACCCCGGUGUGGGGAGGGGCAAGAGGACCCCAGAACAUGGCAAGACAAUGCAUGUGUUCUGGAGUGUACUUGAGCAUGCGAUGCCUUCCAUUUUGAUCUUCAAUUGCAUAGACAGGUGUAGUUUGGUAACGCCUCCAACCAAUAGACACAAUUAUAGGGUCUCUAGUCUUUAGUACCUUCCUGUGCCAUCUGUGCCGUUUUAACCUUGUCUGCAUGUAUCCAACAUUUUCCUCACCAAAACCAAUUCCUCCAACCAGGAUUGGAUGGCAGGGAUCAAAAUGUUCAACCAUCUCGAAAGGAACAUCAUGAACCUCUAAUCUUAGAUACAUCCCAGUAUGGAAGCCCUCAAUGUCUAAUCGAGUUUCCUCGUCUAGGUCAUUGAGUUCAGCAAUAUUCCUUUUUUUACGGAGUUCAAUCUCCUCCUUCAACUUGUCGAAAA
Molecule: unclassified non-coding RNA, 1293 nt
Filed under: Hevea brasiliensis (rubber tree)
Lineage: Eukaryota; Viridiplantae; Streptophyta; Magnoliopsida; Malpighiales; Euphorbiaceae
Source: RNAcentral